Molecule: long non-coding RNA, 4733 nt
Organism: Peromyscus californicus insignis
Lineage: Eukaryota; Metazoa; Chordata; Mammalia; Rodentia; Cricetidae
Exons: 3
Source: RefSeq, a predicted model, not a curated record
ACAGAACACAGACCCUCAGAGUGGCAGGCCCCAGUGGUUCCCUGAGCACCUCGGCUCACACUCACUCUAAUUCCAAGGCAUCUUUUUAUAGGACUGGGCCCAGCAGGCUCCGGGGAGAGGGAGGAGGUCUCCGCCGAGGUACAUACUGGAUGCGCCUGUCAGUCAUGUGUGUGUUUGGUGGGGAUGCAGACUAGUUAAAGGACUUUGUUCACCCUCCUCAUAUUGAGUAUGUCUUUCUAUACUGACAUUUUGACUCCUGCUGUCCUUGGGGAGACUGCUCUUCCCAGGCCUAGCCAACUCCUAAAGAUAGCAAAUUAAUUGCCUGCAAGAAAUCAAUUCAGAGUGCACCUCUCCCACACCUAUCAGUUCUAGGAGGCGCUGACACUCUGGGUCCUCACCGGCUUUGCUCAUCACCUCAGGGCCAGAUGUCACACUGCUCAGCGUUGGCCACACCCCAGAGCCCACUGAAGUUAUUCAAGGCGGCAUGCUAUUCCUCGGUCUCCUAAACAAUCCCAGUGCUUCCCCAAGGGGCCAUGCUGCAUGGCUGUCCCCUCCUCCUGGGACCCAUGAAUGACAAACAACAGCUAUCAUCUGAUCUGCCAGCCCCGCCACACCAGAAUAAUCUUAGCACCUCCAGCUGAAAUCUCCGCCUGGUUCCCAAGCUUCCAAGCACUUCAUUGCUGGGAAGACCUUUUUAAAACAGGCAGAAAAGGCCAGAAACAGAAACAGCAUCCUGCAGCCUUGUUAAGUGGAGUGAGGCCAGAAACCUCAGAACAAUCUGCUCAAUGUCAGCUCGGUGCUACCAGCUGUUAGCAUCUGGAUGGUGGGGAGCUGACCCAACAGAGCUCAGAGCACUGGCAAGCACCUCCUUCCCAGCCUCACUUUCAUCCGUGUUCCAGCUGGGAUGGCAAGUGGCCCCGGGGGACAGUGGGAAGGGGUCCGCACCAGGACAACUGGGAAAAUGGCUAACGCCUUCCAGGUGCAGAGGACUGAUGGAGCACAUGAAGGGGGAGGGAUGGGAUGCUCAAGUCACUUCACAGUGGACACCUGCAAUGCUUGGGCUGGUGGGGACAUAGGACAGUGCUGGUGGGGUGGCUGCCCCAAUGUAGGCUGCAAGAGGAAGAGCAAGCCCCUCCCUCCCUCCAUACCCCGCCCCGCACGUUUCUUCUGUUCGUCUAUUUUGGAGCUGCAGUCUUUAGAACAAAUCAGUACACAAGCAUCAUCACUGCUGGAACAAACUCAUUCUUCACACUCAGAACCUACAUGUCAUCAGGAUUACGUUUGUCCAUCAGAAAUUAGACACAGCCCUCCAUGGACUUAGAUUCUUCACAAACAGCACCCAGUCUGUCAGAGGAACCUGAUAGUUUCCGAAUAAAUGAGUAGUUUCCUAGAACUUAGGGGUUAUUCAUUUUUGAAAAACAUAUCUCCACCCCAAGUGGUUAGUAGUGUUACGUAAUAUGGGAGAUAGAAGAGCGCCAUGAAGUGGUGAGUCCUCCUGCCUUGAAACAGCAAGACAAGCAGCAACCCCAGGAGAUGAGCUCACACAGCCACAGCUUUUUGAGCCCCUUAAAAUCCUAUUAGGAAGAACCAAGCUGGGCCCCGCACCCUAUGCCUCUAAUCCCACCCAGCACUCAGGAGGCAGAGGCAGGUGAGUCUCUGUGACUUCAAGGUCAGACUGGUCUAUGUGGCAGAUUCCAGCUUAGACAGGGUGACAGAGUGAGACCGUGUCUCAGAAGAGGAGGAGGUAGAGGAAGAGAAGAGAGAGAAGGGAGGGGGAAGAAAGAGGGAGGAGAGGGGGAGGAGGAGAGAUUGAGGAGGAGGAGGAGGAGGAGAGGUGGAGGAGGGGAAGGAGAGGGAGAGGAGGAGGAGGAGGAUCAGAUUCCACAGGUUCAGCUCAUGAUUCUCCUUUCAAAAAGGACAUGGGGACAGUAACCUAGACAUGCUACAGAAGCUGGGCUAGCUCUAGAGCUGACACAGGGAGAAACCUGAUUUCUAAUAUCCAGAUUCUCAUGUGCAAAAUACAGCUGUUGGUCACUGUGGUGGUUUGAAAGAAAAUGGCUCCCAUAGGUAGUGGCACUAUUAGGAGGUGUGACUUUGCUGGAGUAGGUGUGGCCUUGUUAGAGGAAGGUGUCACUGUGAGGGUGGGCUUUGAGGUCUCAUAGAAGCCCAAACCAUGCCCAGUGUCUCAGUCCACUUCCUGUUGCCUUCUGAUCAAGAUGUAGCCAGCAUCAUGUCUGCCUGCAUGCCGCCAUGUCCCACCAUGAUGAUAAUGGACUAAAUGUACUAAACCUUUGAAACUGUAAGCCAACCCCAGUUAAAUGUUUUCCUUUGUAAGAGUUGCUGUGGUCAUGGUCUCUUCACAGCACUAGAAAGGCUGACUAAGACGGUCACUAUGUCAUGAAGUAUAUUUCCUAUGAGGGGGGAGGAGGCUUGCAGAGCACAGUGCAGUCCUCCCACCCAGCCUACCUAAAAAUGGCAGACACAAAUUCUCAAAAAACCUCCAGCUCACUUGACAAUUAAAAAAUGUAGGCCAUACCUACUGUUUUAUGGACAAUUUGGAGUGAUGGUAUAAUAUUUUUCAGAUAGAAAAAUUAAUGUUAUUGAAUUAAGAAAAAAAUCCACAAAGGCAAAUUUAAUCUAAUGGAGUGAUUUUAAAAAGUACUAACUACUUAGAAGAAUAUAAUGCAUAUAUAACUUCACUACAGAGCAAAUAAUUCUAUAAUGUUUAUUUUGGCAAUCUGAUAAUGAUUAGCAAUCAAUAAAAGUUUUAAAAGAAACAUACACACAUACACACACACACACACACACACACACACAGCCAAAACACAUGUGUGAAAACAUAGGUUGACAUCAGACAGCAUGGCAGGGAAAUUCUCAGAAUGCUUUUGCACAGACUAGCACUCCCAGCAUGCCUCACAUUAUCUGGAGCAGAGUCUUUGUUAUCCAAAGACCUGUAUUAUUCUAGUAUUUCCUAACAUUGGUUUUACAUUAAGCCAAGCUAGUUCUCUUGGGUAGCAAACAUCAACACAACACAUGGAAAUUAUUCAACCGGGGACUUGAUGAGAAACGUUUUCUUGGCAGCCACAUAGCAAUGCUGAGGAAAAGCACACUCAUUUCCAGAGGCCAUUUGAAGCCAAACUGUGUCCUGAUUCUGUCUUCCAAAGAAGCACUUCUUUAAUACCUUUGGGAGGGACUCUGUCUACAGUAACGGCUAAUACACAUAUAGUAUGUAUUAUACUGACUAGUGAAAAUCUUUUGACUAAAUUGAACUGUUUUUUUUUGGGGGGGGGGGUUGUUUUUGUCUUUGUUUUUUAAAAGACAAGAUCUAGCCAGAUAGUCCAGGUUGGUCUUGAACUCAAAAUCCUACCUCUUGUCUCAGUUUGCUGAGUGCUGGAAUUACAGAUGUGUGCUGCCACAAUGGACCAGACGUAGCUUUUUUUUUUUUUAUGGACAUGUAGUAAUUAUACAUAUUCAUGGGGUAGGAUGUGAUAAUUUAAUAUAUGCAUACACGAUGAUCAACAAGAACACUCAGAAUAUCUCUCACAAAUAUUUCCAUCACUUUGGGUUGACAAUAUUCAGCUUCUUCUAAUUACUUCUAACCACCGUCACUCCGCCAUGCUUUUGGUUUUCUCCUAGAGGCACUGGGGCUUGACCUCAAGGCCUUCUGCAUUCAAGGUGACCUCCACCACUGUGCUGUACCCUCUGCUGUAUACACAGAACCGAGAUAUUCUCUUUAGUGCAUAACCUACCUGUUAACCACCCUCUUCCUAUUAACCCCAUCCCCCAUCCCAGCCUCUGCCAACCACCAUUCCUCUCUUAUUUCUGGGAGAUCAACAUUUUACAUAUUGCAGACCACCAUACAGUGACCUGUGGAGGCUGCAGAAAGGUUCUGGAGACGUGUACAAUGUUUAUUUUCUCAAAACCCCCAAGGGAAGCAUCAGGGCUAGGGGGUGCAGCUCAAAGGCAGUGUUGGUCUUGCACACAUAAGGCCCUCGGCUAGAUUCUUGAAGAAGGGGGAGGGGAAUAUGGGAGGGGGAAGGGGAAAGAGGAGGAGGAUGGAGAAGUGGGGUAGAAAGUGGGGAGAAUGAAAUGGAAAGGAGAGAGGGAGGAAGGGGAGAAAGGGGAAGGGGCAGUAAGAAAAGAGAACGCUCCCAACAUAAAAAGUAUCCUUGGGUUUGUGCAAAAAUAACUGCAAUACCUUCACUAGUAACACUGACAGCUCCUACCACACACCUGUGAAUAAAAACAAGCACAGGAAAGAUGACCUUCUGAAACAAAGGGUAUAUGAAGCACAGUGAAUUAUAACAGAAAUUAAUGAACAGGAGAAAUCGGGCAGUGCUGGCACACGCCUUCAACCCCAGCACUCAGGAGACAGAGGCAGGUAGAACUCUGUGAGUUCGAGGCCAGCCUGGUCUACAGAGCGAAUUCCAGAACAGCCAGGGCUACACAGAGAAACCCCUGUCUUGGGGUGGGGGAGGGGAAGUGGGUUUUACAUUAUUGCAAGAAGACGCCAGCCCCAAAUGGCUGAGUCGAAAUUUUCAUUGCAAGAAAAGUGAUCAAUGGUGAAUUUAAGAGAGUAAUACAUUUGUCUUUUCUCAAAACCAGUAUUGUGGUUUACAGGAAUGUCAGCCUUGCACAUCAGUAACUCAGAGUCUUCUCUGAAAGCCAUCCACCACUGCCAUCCACCCAAAUGUGAAUUGGCAACCAUCACACCGGUCUAAACCACCCAGCCC